Molecule: transfer RNA, 72 nt
Filed under: Heterocephalus glaber (naked mole-rat)
Lineage: Eukaryota; Metazoa; Chordata; Mammalia; Rodentia; Bathyergidae
Rfam family: tRNA
About the family: Transfer RNA (tRNA) molecules are approximately 80 nucleotides in length. Their secondary structure includes four short double-helical elements and three loops (D, anti-codon, and T loops).
Source: Rfam by way of RNAcentral
GGGAGUGUAGCUCUGAGGUAAAGCACUUGCCUAGCGUAUGCAAGGCCCUGGGUUCAAUUCCCAGCACCACUA